Molecule: ribosomal RNA, 492 nt
Filed under: uncultured bacterium
Lineage: Bacteria
Description: partial 16S ribosomal RNA
Rfam family: Bacterial small subunit ribosomal RNA
Source: RNAcentral
GAUGAACGCUAGCUAUAGGCUUAACACAUGCAAGUCGAGGGGAAACGGCAUUAUGUGCUUGCACAUUUUGGACGUCGACCGGCGCACGGGUGAGUAUCGCGUAUCCAACCUGCCCUUUACUUGGGGAUACCCCGUUGAAAGACGGCCUAAUACCCGAUGUAAUUCAUUGAUGGCAUCAGAUAUGAAUAAAAGAUUUAUCGGUAAAGGAUGGGGAUGCGUCUGAUUAGCUUGUUGGUGAGGUAACGGCUCACCAAGGCGACGAUCAGUAGGGGUUCUGAGAGGAAGGUCCCCCACAUUGGAACUGAGACACGGUCCAAACUCCUACGGGAGGCAGCAGUGAGGAAUAGUGGUCAAUGGGCGCAAGCCUGAACCAGCCAAGUAGCGUGCAGGAAGACGGCCCUAUGGGUGGUAAACUGCUUUUAUACGAGAAUAAUUUGAUGCACGUGUGCGUUAUUGCAUGUAUCGUAUGAAUAAGGACCGGCUAAUUCCGUG